AACGAACGCUGGCGGCAUGCCUAACACAUGCAAGUCGAACGAGACCUUCGGGUCUAGUGGCGCACGGGUGCGUAACGCGUGGGAACCUGCCCUUAGGUUCGGAAUAACUCCCCGAAAGGGGUGCUAAUACCGGAUAAUGUCUUCGGACCAAAGAUUUAUCGCCUUUGGAUGGGCCCGCGUUGGAUUAGCUAGUUGGUAGGGUAAAAGCCUACCAAGGCGACGAUCCAUAGCUGGUCUGAGAGGAUGAUCAGCCACACUGGGACUGAGACACGGCCCAGACUCCUUCGGGAGGCAGGAGUGGGGGAUAUUGGACAAUGGGCGAAAGCCUGAUCCAGCAAUGCCGCGUGAGUGAUGAAGGCCUUAGGGUUGUAAAGCUCUUUUACCCGGGAUGAUAAUGACAGUACCGGGAGAAUAAGCUCCGGCUAACUCCGUG
RNAcentral lists this ribosomal RNA (433 nucleotides) under uncultured bacterium. Its description in RNAcentral is "partial 16S ribosomal RNA". It matches the Rfam family "Bacterial small subunit ribosomal RNA", at positions 29 to 507 of the family's 1533-position model. The record is from RNAcentral.